AUUGAACGCUGGCGGCAGGCCUAACACAUGCAAGUCGAGCGGUAGAGAGGUGCUUGCAUCUCUUGAGAGCGGCGGACGGGGUGAGUAAUGCCUAGGAAUCUGCCUAGUGGUGGGGGAUAACGUUCGGAAACGGACGCUAAUACCGCAUACGUCCUACGGGAGAAAGCGGGGGGAUCUUCGGACCUCGCGCCAUUAGAUGAGCCUAGGUCGGAUUAGCUAGUUGGUGAGGUAAUGGCUCACCAAGGCGACGAUCCGUAACUGGUCUGAGAGGAUGAUCAGUCANACUGGAACUGAGACACGGUCCAGACUCCU
Molecule: ribosomal RNA, 312 nt
Filed under: uncultured bacterium
Lineage: Bacteria
Description: bacterial SSU rRNA
Rfam family: Bacterial small subunit ribosomal RNA
Source: RNAcentral